This 75-nucleotide transfer RNA is filed under the name Crassvirales sp. RNAcentral's name for it is "tRNA-Trp". It matches the Rfam family "tRNA". From Rfam's summary of the family: Transfer RNA (tRNA) molecules are approximately 80 nucleotides in length. Their secondary structure includes four short double-helical elements and three loops (D, anti-codon, and T loops). The record is from RNAcentral. Lineage: Duplodnaviria; Heunggongvirae; Uroviricota; Caudoviricetes; Crassvirales.
UGAGGUAUAGUUUAAUGGUAAAAUAUUGUUCUCCAAAAGCAAAGUUAUUAGUUCGAUUCUAAUUACCUCUGCGUA